Molecule: ribosomal RNA, 492 nt
Filed under: uncultured bacterium
Lineage: Bacteria
Description: partial 16S ribosomal RNA
Rfam family: Bacterial small subunit ribosomal RNA
Source: RNAcentral
AGUGAACGCUGGCGGUAGGCCUAACACAUGCAAGUCGAACGGCAGCACAGUAAGAGCUUGCUCUUACGGGUGGCGAGUGGCGGACGGGUGAGGAAUACAUCGGAAUCUACUUUUUCGUGGGGGAUAACGUAGGGAAACUUACGCUAAUACCGCAUACGACCUACGGGUGAAAGAAGGGGAUCUUCGGACCUUGCCCGAUUGAUUGAGCCGAUGUCGGAUUAGCUAGUUGGCGGGGUAAAGGCCCACCAAGGCGACGAUCCGUAGCUGGUCUGAGAGGAUGAUCAGCCACACUGGAACUGAGACACGGUCCAGACUCCUACGGGAGGCAGCAGUGGGGAAUAUUGGACAAUGGGCGCAAGCCUGAUCCAGCCAUACCGCGUGGGUGAAGAAGGCCUUCGGGUUGUAAAGCCCUUUUGUUGGGAAAGAAAAGCAGCAGGUUAAUACCCCGCUGUUCUGACGGUACCCAAAGAAUAAGCACCGGCUAACUUCGUG